Unclassified non-coding RNA from Macaca fascicularis (crab-eating macaque), 148 nucleotides. It matches the Rfam family "Metazoan signal recognition particle RNA". From Rfam's summary of the family: The signal recognition particle (SRP) is a universally conserved ribonucleoprotein. It is involved in the co-translational targeting of proteins to membranes. Lineage: Eukaryota; Metazoa; Chordata; Mammalia; Primates; Cercopithecidae. The record is from Ensembl.
GCCAGGUGUGGUGGUGUAUGCCUGUAGUCCCAGUUACUCUGGAGGCUGAGGUGGGAGGAUCACUUGAGCCCAGGAGGCUAAGGCUGCAGUGAGCUGUGAUAGCACCACUGCACUCCAGCCUGAGCAACACAGUGAGACCUUGUCUCUA